GAGGAGCAAGAACAGAGCGGAACUGUAGGAAGCUUCAAGUAUACUGAUAAAUCUGAUGUAUAUAGCUUCGGUAUGGUUUGCUUUGAGCUUUUGACUGGUAAAGUGCCAUUCGAAGAUAGCCACCUGCAAGGAGAUAAGAUGAGUAGAAACAUUAGGGCAGGGGAGAGACCGCUUUUUCCAUUUCAUUCACCUAGAUUGAUAACAAACCUGACGAAACGAUGUUGGCAUGCUGAUCCGAAUCAGCGUCCCACUUUCUCAUCGAUAAGCAGAAUUCUCCGGUACAUCAAACGGUUUCUAGCUUUGAACCAAGAAUGCCAUAGUAGUAGCCAACAAGACCCGCCCA
Molecule: long non-coding RNA, 343 nt
Filed under: Capsella rubella
Lineage: Eukaryota; Viridiplantae; Streptophyta; Magnoliopsida; Brassicales; Brassicaceae
Description: long non-coding RNA (CRUB_LNC004528)
Source: RNAcentral